UCCCCCUGACUCAGGCUGGGACAUACCUGCGGAAGGAUGGUGAUGCGGAAGGACUGUCCACUCACGGAGGAGGCUGCCUUGAUGGAUUUGACUGCAGCUUCAAACACUUUCUUGGGCAAACGAAGAUGGAGUAUUAGCUCUGUCACCCAGGCUGGAGUACAGUGGCGUGAUCUCGGCUCACUCUAACCUCUGCCUCCUGGAUUCAAACCAUUCUUUUGCCUCAGCCUCCCAAGUAGCUGGGACUACAGAUCCUGUCCAUUGAUCUCCACCCGCACAAUGAUCACCUCAUAAUACCACUCCCGCCGGAUGGGUGUAUACCAGAGACUGCCUGUGUACAGCGAGUGGUCGAUACCUCCAAUGAUCUAGGGAAAAAAAGAGGCAGGUACCCGUGUCCUGGCACAGAAGGAGAGUGAGUCCCCCAAGGACCAAGCAAUAAGAUCAGUGAUUUCUUGGGGUGGCAAGGUCUUCUACAGGCUACCCUUUUCAUCUUCCUGCUUCUAAACAAAUCAUACCCAAAGUG
Long non-coding RNA from Homo sapiens (human), 520 nucleotides. Ensembl annotates it as BACE1 antisense RNA. Its record names the gene BACE1-AS. The record is from Ensembl. Lineage: Eukaryota; Metazoa; Chordata; Mammalia; Primates; Hominidae.